GACGAACGCUGGCGGCGUGCUUAACACAUGCAAGUCGAACGGUAAGGCCCGGUUCUUGUGGCGUGCUCGAGUGCCGAGCGGGUGAGUAUCACGUGUGUGGCAUCUGCUUGACUUUGGGGUAAAUUCUGGAAACUGGGGCGCAUAUAGGGCAUAAACUCUUUCUGCAUGGGGUGUGUGGUAGAAUGUUGGCGGUUGGGGAUGGAAUCGCGGCUUAUCAGAGUGUUGGUGGGGUAGUGGGUUACAAGGGCUUUGAGGGGUUGCCGGACUGCGGGGGUGACCGGCCACAUUGGGACUGAGAUACGGACCAGACUUCUACGGGGGGCAGCGGUGGGGAAUAUUGCACAAUGGGCGGAGGCCUGAUGCAGCAACGCCGCAUGCGGGAUGACGGCCUUCGGGUUGUAACCCGCUUUCGCCUGUGACGAAGCGUGAGUGACGGUAAUGGGUCAAGAAGCGCCGGCUAACUACGUG
RNAcentral lists this ribosomal RNA (468 nucleotides) under uncultured bacterium. RNAcentral's name for it is "partial 16S ribosomal RNA". It matches the Rfam family "Bacterial small subunit ribosomal RNA", at positions 28 to 507 of the family's 1533-position model. The record is from RNAcentral.